UACAGAGGGGGCAAGCGUUGUUCGGAAUUACUGGGCGUAAAGGGCGCGUAGGCGGCCUGCUAAGUCGAACGUGAAAUCCCCGGGCUCAACCCGGGAACUGCGUCCGAUACUGGUUGGCUUGAAUCCGGGAGAGGGAUGCGGAAUUCCAGGUGUAGCGGUGAAAUGCGUAGAUAUCUGGAGGAACACCGAUGGCGAAGGCGGCACGCUGGACCGGUAUUGACGCUGAGGCGCGAAAGCGAGGGGAGCAAACGGG
Molecule: ribosomal RNA, 253 nt
Filed under: uncultured bacterium
Lineage: Bacteria
Description: partial 16S ribosomal RNA
Rfam family: Bacterial small subunit ribosomal RNA
Source: RNAcentral